This 371-nucleotide ribosomal RNA is filed under the name uncultured Thermovirga sp. RNAcentral describes it as "bacterial SSU rRNA". It matches the Rfam family "Bacterial small subunit ribosomal RNA", at positions 1012 to 1382 of the family's 1533-position model. The record is from RNAcentral. Lineage: Bacteria; Thermotogati; Synergistota; Synergistia; Synergistales; Thermovirgaceae.
UUACUCUUCGGAGUGAGAGCGUACACAGGUGCUGCAUGGCUGUCGUCAGCUCGUGUCGUGAGAUGUUGGUAAGUCCCGCAACGAGCGCAACCCUGCAUUCAGUUGCCAUCGGUAAGGCCGGGCACUCUGGAUGGACUGCCGGCGACAAGCCGGAGGAAGGUGGGGACGACGUCAAGUCAUCAUGGCCCUUAUGUCCAGGGCGACACACGUGCUACAAUGGCCGGCACAACGGGAAGCGAAGGGGCGACCCUGAGCGGAUCCCACAAAAGCCGGUCUCAGUUCGGAUUGCAGUCUGCAACUCGACUGCAUGAAGUUGGAAUCGCUAGUAAUCGUGGAUCAGCCAAGCCGCGGUGAAUACGUUCCCGGGCCUU